This 468-nucleotide ribosomal RNA is filed under the name uncultured bacterium. Its description in RNAcentral is "partial 16S ribosomal RNA". It matches the Rfam family "Bacterial small subunit ribosomal RNA", at positions 28 to 507 of the family's 1533-position model. The record is from RNAcentral.
GACGAACGCUGGCGGCGUGCUUAACACAUGCAAGUCGAACGGAAAGGCCCUGCUUUUGUGGGGUGCUCGAGUGGCGAACGGGUGAGUAACACGUGAGUAACCUGCCCUUGACUUUGGGAUAACUUCAGGAAACUGGGGCUAAUACCGUAUAGGAGCUCCUGCUGCAUGGUGGGGGGUGGAAAGUUUCGGCGGUUGGGGAUGGACUCGCGGCUUAUCAGCUUGUUGGUUGGGUAGUGGCUUACCAAGGCUUUGACGGGUAGCCGGCCUGAGAGGGUGACCGGCCACAUUGGGCCUGAGAUACGGCCCAGACUGCAACGGGAGGCAGCAGUGGGAAAUAUUGCACAAUGGGAGGACGCCUGAUGCAGCAACGCCGCGUUCGGGAUGACGGCCUUCGGGUUGUAAACCGCUUUAGCCUGUUACGAAGCGUGAGUGACGGUAAUGGGUAAAGAAGCACCGGCUAACUACGUG